CUAGAUGGGCCGAAUGGUUCUUAUCUGCCUUCACAUUCUAUGUUUGAUUGGACAUAUAGAUUGGGAAGUUGGCCGGGUAAAUAGGAAAGAAACUAAUUAUAAGCCUCAUAAUAUUAGUAUUAUUUAUUGCUGUUUAUAUAUUGUGAACCUCUGAAAUGCAUUGUGAAUGUGACUGUAACGGAUCGCCUGGCACCUCGACUGGGUACCUCCGUUGAAGGAUGCUCCUAGCGCUUCCUGAGGACUCCAAGCACUCUGGCAGACACCACAAUCACCGAACCGGAGAACCAAAUAA
Molecule: non-coding RNA, 292 nt
Organism: Pelobates cultripes (western spadefoot toad)
Lineage: Eukaryota; Metazoa; Chordata; Amphibia; Anura; Pelobatidae
Source: the annotation of a GenBank genome assembly